Molecule: long non-coding RNA, 547 nt
Filed under: Homo sapiens (human)
Lineage: Eukaryota; Metazoa; Chordata; Mammalia; Primates; Hominidae
Description: non-protein coding lnc-CDCP2-1:3
Source: RNAcentral
AGAUGCAGUUAUGUCCAUCGGGGAACUUACAGCCUAGCAAGGAAGGCAGCAAUUCAACCUGUAAGUCUAAAAGUGAUGGGUGUCAUGAAAAGGUGUCAAAUGUGGGGGUGUGCUCUCAGCACCUUCUGGAAACUUCUCCAGCCCCAACUUCCCUAGACUGUACCCCUACAACACAGAGUGCAGCUGGCUGAUCGUGGUGGCCGAGGGAUCCUCGGUGCUGCUCACCUUCCAUGCCUUUGACCUAGAGUACCACGACACCUGCAGCUUCGACUUUCUGGAGAUCUACAAUGGGGCCUCACCAGACAAGGGCAACCUGCUGGGGAGGUUCUGCGGCAAGAUGUGUGUGGCGGCGUCCUGACUGGCCUGUCAGGGGUCCUCACCAGUCCUGAGUAUCCCAACAACUACCCGAACAGCAUGGAGUGCCACUGGGUGAUCCGGGCCGCUGGCCCUGCCCACGUCAAGCUGGUGUUCGUGGACUUCCAGGUGGAGGGCAAUGAAGAGUGCACCUAUGACUACGUGGCUGUGCUUGGGGGGCCUGGCCCCACCC